RNAcentral lists this ribosomal RNA (253 nucleotides) under uncultured Eubacteriales bacterium. Its description in RNAcentral is "uncultured Clostridiales bacterium partial 16S ribosomal RNA". It matches the Rfam family "Bacterial small subunit ribosomal RNA", at positions 524 to 776 of the family's 1533-position model. Lineage: Bacteria; Bacillati; Bacillota; Clostridia; Eubacteriales. The record is from RNAcentral.
UACGUAGGGGGCAAGCGUUAUCCGGAUUUACUGGGUGUAAAGGGAGCGUAGACGGCGGUGCAAGCCAGAUGUGAAAUCCCGCGGCUUAACCGCGGAACUGCAUCUAAAACUGGUAAGCUGGAGUGCAGGAGAGGUGAGUGGAAUUCCUAGUGUAGCGGUGGAAUGCGUAGAUAUUAGGAGGAACACCAGAGGCGAAGGCGACUCACUGGACUGUAACUGACGCUGAGGCUCGAAAGCGUGGGGAGCAAACAGG